CGUAUCACCCAAGACAACUUUACGGAGUUGACGAUUGACGGAGCGAAGCGACGUCAAAGCGUUCAUUAAAGUCGAGUUGGCUUAGGGAUACGUUCGUUGGGUAGGGGAGCGUUCUGUAAGCCUGUGAAGGUGUGUCGUGAGGCAUGCUGGAGGUAUCAGAAGUGCGAAUGCUGACAUAAGUAACGAUAAAGCGGGUGAAAAGCCCGCUCGCCGGAAGACCAAGGGUUCCUGUCCAACGUUAAUCGGGGCAGGGUGAGUCGACCCCUAAGGCGAGGCCGAAAGGCGUAGUCGAUGGGAAACGGGUUAAUAUUCCCGUACUUGGUGUUACUGCGAAGGGGGGACGGAGAAGGCUAUGUUGGCCGGGCGACGGUUGUCCCGGUUUAAGCGUGUAGGCUGGUUUUCCAGGCAAAUCCGGAAAAUCAAGGCUGAGGCGUGACGACGAGGCACUACGGUGCUGAAGCAACAAAUGCCCUGCUUCCAGGAAAAGCCUCUAAGCAUCAGGUAACAUCAAAUCGUACCCCAAACCGACACAGGUGGU
RNAcentral lists this ribosomal RNA (538 nucleotides) under Salmonella enterica subsp. enterica serovar Coeln. RNAcentral's name for it is "partial 23S ribosomal RNA". It matches the Rfam family "Bacterial large subunit ribosomal RNA", at positions 1154 to 1667 of the family's 2925-position model. The record is from RNAcentral. Lineage: Bacteria; Pseudomonadati; Pseudomonadota; Gammaproteobacteria; Enterobacterales; Enterobacteriaceae.